GAUGAACGCUGGCGGCGUGCCUAAUACAUGCAAGUCGAGCGAACAGACGAGGAGCUUGCUCCUCUGACGUUAGCGGCGGACGGGUGAGUAACACGUGGAUAACCUACCUAUAAGACUGGGAUAACUUCGGGAAACCGGAGCUAAUACCGGAUAAUAUAUUGAACCGCAUGGUUCAAUAGUGAAAGACGGUUUUGCUGUCACUUAUAGAUGGAUCCGCGCCGCAUUAGCUAGUUGGUAAGGUAACGGCUUACCAAGGCGACGAUGCGUAGCCGACCUGAGAGGGUGAUCGGCCACACUGGAACUGAGACACGGUCCAGACUCCUACGGGAGGCAGCAGUAGGGAAUCUGCCGCAAUGGGCGAAAGCCUGACGGAGCAACGCGGCGUGAGUGAUGAAGGUCUUCGGAUCGUAAAACUCUGUUAUGAGGGAAGAACAAAUGUGUAAGUAACUAUGCACGUCUGGACGGUACCUAAUCAGAAAGCCACGGCUAACUACGU
This 496-nucleotide ribosomal RNA is filed under the name uncultured bacterium. RNAcentral's name for it is "partial 16S ribosomal RNA". It matches the Rfam family "Bacterial small subunit ribosomal RNA", at positions 28 to 506 of the family's 1533-position model. The record is from RNAcentral.